RNAcentral lists this ribosomal RNA (513 nucleotides) under uncultured Planctomycetota bacterium. RNAcentral's name for it is "bacterial SSU rRNA". It matches the Rfam family "Bacterial small subunit ribosomal RNA", at positions 117 to 643 of the family's 1533-position model. Lineage: Bacteria; Pseudomonadati; Planctomycetota. The record is from RNAcentral.
GUAGAUUACGUACCCCUAGGACUGGAAUAGCUGCGGGAAACUGCAGGUAAUGCCAGAUAAUAUCUUCGGAUCAAAGGUGUGAUUCCGCCUAGGGAGCGGUCUACGUCCUAUUAGUUAGUUGGUGGGGUAAUGGCCUACCAAGACUUUGAUGGGUGGCGGGUGUGAGAGCACGACCCGCGUCACUGGGACUGAGACACUGCCCAGACACCUACGGGUGGCUGCAGUCGAGAAUCUUCGGCAAUGGGCGAAAGCCUGACCGAGCGACGCCGCGUGCGGGAUGAAGGCCUUCGGGUUGUAAACCGCUGUCAGUGGGGAGGAAGGCCGCGUGAAGAGCGCGGUUUGACCUAUCUUCAGAGGAANGACGGGCUAAGUUCGUGCCAGCAGCCGCGGUAAGACGAACCGUCCAAACGUUAUUCGGAAUUACUGGGCUUAAAGGGUGCGUAGGCGGUGCUACAAGUCGGGUGUGAAAUCCCUCAGCUUAACUGAGGAACUGCGCCUGAAACUGUAGUGCUG